Non-coding RNA from Salmo salar (Atlantic salmon), 1719 nucleotides. Lineage: Eukaryota; Metazoa; Chordata; Actinopteri; Salmoniformes; Salmonidae. The record is from RefSeq and is a predicted model, not a curated record.
GUGUAUUCAUAUUUUUGAAAGAAUUUAUACCUUUUCAAACAGGGGCGCAACUUUGGUUUUAGAUGUGGGGGGGACAUAUAUAUAUAUAUAUAUAUGGAUUGAGUUCAGUUAUGGAACUCAUUCAGUUUAACUCGAAUGCAAACAGUGUGUUAGGCAGGAUCAACUCUGGGAUGAUUGCUUCUGUCUGAGUGGGAUAGGAAAAGUCGAUAUGUGUUUCGUCGAUAGGACAUCUUCAUCGCUUUGCUAAGCAUUCACCUGACCUUGCAGAAGACUCAGUACACUACUGGCACAUUAAAGCCUGAAUCUGUGCACAGUUCUCCGCCGACACCAGAGGAACAUACCUCAGCAAUUGUGUCAAAAGUAACACCUGAAACGUCCACAGAAUGUACAGAAACCUCAUACAGGUGAAGGAUCAGCAGUCAGGAAACAUAUGGUCUCUCCUGCGAUCUGAAGAAGAUACAGAAGAUAACCCCAAAGGUAGACUCUGACAGAUGUUGCAUACUGACGAUGUCAUGAUGAGGAUGUCAUGUCACUCAGGCAGCGUUUACACAGGCCGCCCAAUUCCGAUGUAUUGGCACAUUUGAUACCUAUCAGAUGUUUUCCGAAGGUGUAAACUGCAAAAAACACAUGGAAUCUGAUAUUUUGAAUUCUGGUUUAUUACACAUUCGGAGGGCUUCUCCAUCCAGAUAUGAUUCUGAUGUUUCAUAUGAGACAGUCUGGAUGCUCGGAUCAGAUUUAUUUGCUCAAAGGUGUUUUUAUUUUUUUUGUACAUGACCUGGCUGUUCCCACGACAACAUUUAAAGCAACGGUGACAGCAAAUUAUCCUUGCAUCUGUGUGCUAUUUUAGAGGCUACGUCAGUGUGAAUGCACAAGUCUCAUAUGGGUCACAUAUCAAACUGAAUGUGAACAGUCAAAAACAUUGGAUAUUAAAUACAAAUCUCAAUUGGAUUCUUAGGAUGGCUGUGUGAACGUAGCCAUAGUAUCAGAUGUAGGCUGAUGCUACAUGCUGGAUAUUUCAUGAUAAUACAUACCUCAUGUUUAGUUCACUUUGUUGAGGUGUCACUCAAGCUUUAAGGUGCACAGACAUGCAUGCAACCCAGUAAGGGUGCUUCAUUCCACAGGAGCAGGCUCGUUAAGUUUUAUAAUAAUACACAUAUUCACAAUUAGCUAUCACCCUUGUUACGCUGCAUCAAGCCUCCAAAAAUGGCAAGGUUGCUCCAGCUAUGUUCACUGUUGCCCCUUUAAUUGACCGACUGGGUUUGAACCCUGGUCAUUUGCGUGCCAUACGACUGUGACAGCCUUCUGGAAGCUAAGACAUUGGCUCACAAAGGUUACUCAUCACCCCAACCACUUCCGUGUCCCUUUCAUGGCCCUUUCAGGUGUAAAACCAAGGCCAGAGUAUUCUCCAUCCGAGCACAGUGAAAGGGCAAACACACAAGAUUUUUAACUCACACAUAAAAAAACACAGUAAUUUACCAGGCCUAUAAUUAUUUUUAUAUAAUAGUUUGAUCUAUUUUCCAUUAUUUUGUAUUAUUGUUGGUAUUUUGCUUGUUGAAUGUAUUGAAAUGUAUUAAAUGCAUAACAAAGUUUGAUCAGUCUGCAGCUUCGGUCCAAAGUGAUCCUGGACGCAGACACAAAGGGCCGGCCCCAGAUGGUGAAGGUAGGCAACAACACCUCCGCCACACUGACCCUUAACACGGGGGCCCCUAAGGGGUGUGU